UAACAUGCAAGUCGAGCGAGGCGGCCCGCAAGGGUCAGUCGAGCGGCGAACGGGUGAGUAACGCGUGGAUAACCUGCCCAGAGGUGGGGGAUAACCCGGGGAAACUCGGGCUAAUACCGCAUGAUAUCGAGAGAUCAAAGGGGGCUCGCAAGGGCUCUCGCCAUUGGAGGGGUCCGCGUCCGAUUAGCUAGUUGGUAGGGUAGUGGCCUACCAAGGCAACGAUCGGUAGCCGGCCUGAGAGGGUGAUCGGCCACACUGGAACUGAGACACGGUCCAGACUCCUACGGGAGGCAGCAGUGGGGAAUUUUGCGCAAUGGGCUAACGCCUGACGCAGCAACGCCGCGUGGAGGAUGAAGGUCUUUGGAUUGUAAACUCCUGUCAGCAGGGAAAAAGCGACUCGGACGAAUAAUCCGGGGAGUUGAUUGUACCUGCAGAGGAAGCCCCGGCUAACUCUGUGCCAGCAGCCGCGGUAAUACAGAGGGGGCAAGCGUUAUUCGGAAUUAUUGGGCGUAAAGGGCGCGUAGGCGGCUUGGCAAGUGGAUGGUGAAAUCCCUC
RNAcentral lists this ribosomal RNA (555 nucleotides) under uncultured bacterium. Its description in RNAcentral is "bacterial SSU rRNA". It matches the Rfam family "Bacterial small subunit ribosomal RNA", at positions 51 to 605 of the family's 1533-position model. The record is from RNAcentral.